UACGUAGGGACCAAGCGUUGUUCGGAUUUACUGGGCGUAAAGGGCGCGUAGGCGGCGUGUUAAGUCACUUGUGAAAUCUCUAAGCUUAACUUAGAACGGUCAAGUGAUACUGAUGUGCUAGAGUGCAGAAGGGGCAACCGGAAUUCUUGGUGUAGCGGUGAAAUGCGUAGAUAUCAAGAGGAACACCUGAGGUGAAGACGGGUUGCUGGGCUGACACUGACGCUGAGGAGCGAAAGCGUGGGGAGCGAACAGG
RNAcentral lists this ribosomal RNA (253 nucleotides) under uncultured bacterium. Its description in RNAcentral is "partial 16S ribosomal RNA". It matches the Rfam family "Bacterial small subunit ribosomal RNA", at positions 524 to 776 of the family's 1533-position model. The record is from RNAcentral.